UUGGAGCCUUCAGUGGCAUUUUAAAUUUGCAGUUGUUAAAAGUCUGUUUCUACUUUUCCAAAAUCAGUUCUGGGUAUUGAAGCAUUUCUAUGUAUCUGCAAAAAUGGCUUAAAUUGAUCUCUAGAUACAAUUUUACAUGUUAGGAGAAAGGAAUUUUUUUUUUUUUAACUUUUAGCCCAUCAGAGAGUUUGGGGGAAGUUCUGGGGGAUUCACAAUAUUAGCCCAGUUCAAGGCUCUGAGAAGCCACGUAGUAGAGGAAACUUUAUUUGACCAAUUCAGUAUUUCUGAAAUUAUUUUAACCACAGUUUCUUCUGUAACAUUGGUUAAAUUAAACACACUUAGGAAGCUGCUUGCCUAGUAAUUUAACGUUUCACUUUUUUGUCAGAGAGUAUUUUCUCUUGAGCAGAGCAGGAAGCUCCAUAACAGUGUUGACUCAUCUCAUUGUAAUUGGCUGAAACCUCAGAAAGAGGUGUCGUGCCCCUCCCACCCCUUCCACAUUUACCUGGAUUUUUGCCACUCGCCUUUAACAGGUGGAUUUCCCUCAUGGAAUUGGGUUGAGGACUAGACCCCAGAGCUGGGGCCUGCUGGGGUGGGGCUUGAGGCAGCAAGGGCAGCAAAAAAAACAGCUGGAGCUGCGGUCCUGGACGGUUCCGGGACCCAGAGGCCAAGAGAUCCAGAGUCGGGAUAACAAGGGGGACCACCAGGAAGCAGUCCUGGCAUAGCAGGAUGUUUUUGGUCUGUUUUCCACUGCCAUUCCCUCAUUCAUUCAUUCAUUCUGUGGGCUGAUGAAGCUCGUUUUAUGUGUCAGGUGCCAUGUUGGUCACUCAUUCAUUCAUUCUGUCGGCUGAUGAAGCUCGCUUUAUGUGCCAGGUGCCAUGUUGGUCCCUCAUUCAUUCAUUCAUUCAUUCAUUCUGUGGGCUGGUGAAGCUCACUUUAUGUGCCAGGUGCCAUGUUGGUCCCUCAUUCAUUCAUUCAUUCAUUCAUUCUGUGGGCUGGUGAAGCUCACUUUAUGUGCCAGGUGCCAUGUUGGUCCCUCAUUCAUUCAUUCAUUCAUUCAUUCAUUCUGUGGGCUGGUGAAGCUCACUUUAUGUGUCAGGUGCCAUGUUGGUCCCUCAUUCAUUCAUUCAUUCAUUCAUUCUGUGGGCUGAUGAAGCUCGCUUUAUGUGCCAGGUGCCAUGUUGGUCCCUCAUUCAUUCAUUCAUUCAUUCAUUCUGUGGGCUGGUGAAGCUCACUUUAUGUGCCAGGUGCCAUGUUGGUCCCUCAUUCAUUCAUUCAUUCAUUCUGUGGGCUGGUGAAGCUCACUUUAUGUGCCAGGUGCCAUGUUGGUCCCUCAUUCAUUCAUUCAUGCAUUCAUUCUGUGGGCUGGUGAAGCUCACUUUAUGUGCCAGGUGCCAUGUUGGUCCCUCAUUCAUUCAUUCAUUCAUUCUGUAGGCUGAUGAAGCUCAGUUUAUGUGCGAGGUGCCAUGUUGGUCCCUCAUUCAUUCAUUCAUUCAUUCUGUAGGCUGAUGAAGCUCGCUUUAUGUGCCAGGUGCCAUGUUGGUCCCUCAUUCAUUCAUUCAUUCAUUCUGUAGGCUGAUGAAGCUCACUUUAUGUGCCAGGUGCCAUGUUGGUCCCUCAUUCAUUCAUUCAUUCAUUCUGUAGGCUGAUGAAGCUCACUUUAUGUGCCAGGUGCCAUGUUGGUCCCUCAUUCAUUCAUUCAUUCAUUCUGUAGGCUGAUGAAGCUCAGUUUAUGUGCGAGGUGCCAUGUUGGUCCCUCAUUCAUUCAUUCAUUCAUUCUGUAGGCUGAUGAAGCUCGCUUUAUGUGCCAGGUGCCAUGUUGGUCCCUCAUUCAUUCAUUCAUUCAUUCUGUAGGCUGAUGAAGCUCGCUUUAUGUGCCAGGUGCCAUGUUGGUCCCUCAUUCAUUCAUUCAUUCAUUCUGUAGGCUGAUGAAGCUCACUUUAUGUGCCAGGUGCCAUGUUGGUCCCUCAUUCAUUCAUUCAUUCUGUGGGCUGGUGAAGCUCACUUUAUGUGCCAGGUGCCAUGUUGGGAGUGUUCCUCCUGGGCAUGGUACGUAGGCGUUGCCAUUGGGUCCACAAUGCGUGUCUUGUAAAAGUUCCACCCCGAUAGAAACAGGGCUCUGCUUUAGAGCAUACAGUCUGUACAAUCAGAAGUCACGUUGCUUUAGGAUGUUCCUGCUCAUGCCAGAUCCUCUGAAAGUGAUGAAAUGUUGGGAAGACAGUUUACAGUUUUCUGUUUUCUUCAGUGCCAUUGUUAGUACAAGGAAUAUAGUCCCUUUCAGUCUUCUUCAUAAUGAGUUUAGAGAAUUAAAAUAUUCCAUUUAACUUGUUUUCUUUUUUAAGUCUGUAGCUCUACAUAUUUAGAAAUUGUCUCUCCUAGGCAUUAGAAUUGGUACAGGUAUAGAUUAAUUAUAGAUCAUGUAAUAAAAAUUUGAGGAAAUGGAGAGUAAUUUUAAAAAACUUACUGAUGUGUUCUAGGUGGUUAAACUAUGUUUAUUUAACAUAUUUGAAAUUUCAUUUGUUUCCCUUAAAACAACCAAAUCGAGUUCAUUAGUCACAAAUAAGAUCUCAUACACUGCCUGUGAUUGCAGUGUUAAAAUGUAGUGUAGUUAGUGCCUUGAGUAAAGAUGAAGUUUUUUUCCACUGGUUGAGAAAUUUGCAGUUAGAAAAACAGUGCAUUCCAUUUGUGCAUGCCUGCGUACUUCAAUAAAGUAAUUCUGUCAUAGACAAACUGACUGGGUUUAUGUAGGAGAAAAUGUUAAACUUCCCCUUAGCUUUCACAUAAUUGUCAACAACUGGGUGGUUAAAAUAUGAUUGUUGGUGUCUGAGUAGAAGCAUGUGCAUUCUUUGAAUGCUUCUAAUGACUGACAGGAUUAGGAAUCUGGUAUUCAGAGAAUGGAACUCCCUCCUCCAUGAAUAGAUAAUACCAAUGGCCUAUUCUGGCAUAGAAUUAGGACUUUUAAGAUGCUAUUUUUAUAGUUUUGGUAAUAUAAAAAUUAUGCUCAGCAGUUACUUUGUAGGAGACCACUACCAUUAAAAUGCAGUAGAAUUUUGUGGAAGGGGUGUGUGCAUGUGUUGGAGAUGGAGGUGGACAUCUGUUGGAAUAGUACGAACUAUAAAAUGUUCAUACAAAUGCCUUUCAUUUAAGUUUAUUCAUAAUUAUCUGCUUCUAAUUUGUGUCAGAUUACAUUUAAAGUUCAAAAAGACUAGUUACAAAUUCAGUACGUAACACUGCAUGUUUAAUUAGCAGCAAUUAAUUGAGUAAAAGGUUUGGUCUGAUUAGGAGUAUUCAGGGAAAAAGGAGUUAAUUAAGAGAUAUUUUCAGUAACCAUUGAGUUAUAUGCUGGAGACAUGUCAGUGCCAUACUCUGGUCUGUGUGUUUUCUUCUUACAUCUUUUUAAAAAAGUAGAUUAUUAGAGCACUACUUCUAAACCAUUUUAAUACCUGGAAAUAGAAGAUACUCCAUAAAUAAAUAUACUUAUUGAUUAGAAUUGGUUUUCCUCCCCAAACUUAAGUAAUUGCCUUGAGAGUCAACGGAGGGUGCCACUCUGCCAGUCAGUGGGGCCCCAGCUGAACAUCCAGUGUGUGUCUACAGGGGAAGAAACAGACUCCCCUUCACAGUUCUGUGUAAUAUACUUAAUAGCUUAAGAGUAAAAAUUAGCCUGUUUGUCUAGAUAAUUGCCCUGUUCCCAUACAGGGAACAAUUUAAAGUUGUUUAAAAAUCACUCAUAUUGUAGCUAAAGUCAGUGAAUAAGCCCCCAGCCUCGUACAGACCUUUUCUGCCACCUUAGGAAGUCGUUCAACAGCACCAGUGCAUCUCAGUGUCUGUGAAUGAACCUGUUGUUAGGCCAGGCAGGGGCACUUUCUACCACUCAGCAGCCCUCAUUGUUUCUUCACAUAAACACGAUGCUGCUUUCCCACCUGCAAAUCUGAUGAUUUCUGCCUUAAUCUAUAUGGAUGUGGGAUUCAUGUAUCCCAUCACGAGCUGGGUUCCUGUUUAACCUUGUUAUCAGUGACAUGCUCCAAGCUGUGUUCACCAGAGUCAUGAUGCCCCAGAUAAUAGAGGAUGUUUCUGAAUCUUGCAUGGCCGAUAAAGAGCAAGGUUGUAAUCCAUGCUGUAAAGAAAACACAGGGCGAUGAGACAGAAACAGUAAGAAUAGCGGGAGGAGACUCUUCCAGGAGAGGAUGCAUCAGACACUGGGGCUCUGAGAUGAGUGUGCUCUCCUGAUUGAGGACAAAGAGAAUGCCCACUUGGCUGGAGGGCAGGGAGCAAGUUUUGCAGAAAGCAGUGUGUUCUAGCAGCACCAGCCUCCUCCACAGCAGAUAGUCUCUUCGUUCCUCCACAUGAGGCCUUGCAUAUUUGAAGCUUCAUCGGCAAGAUAAGAUUAUCCUGUACAAUAAGAGAGAAGUGGAUAUAGAAGAAUGAAUAUAAAAUAUGGUAGGUCAGCUGGUGAGUACAGACAUAGGGAAGUCUGAGGGGCAGGGAUGAAGAGAGUCACCAUGGCUGCCCCAGUCUCCUGUGUCAGGCCAGGCAGUCAGUCACAAUUUUAGACAGUGAGGGUGAUGUACAGGUGGGAUGAGAAAAGGAUCUUGGCGUUCUGACGACGGCCAAAAAUGCAAUCAGGAAGGACCUGGGAUCACUGACUCAUAAGUACAGACAGGCCGGAAAUUAGUGUCUCAAAAGCCUGGCAGAGGCAGCAGGACCCAGUUCUCGGCCAGGGUUCAGCUCAGAGCGUCAGGGCCUAGAGAAACCCUGGGCCUCCACCCUGUUGCAGACUGAGGCACUGCCUUGGGGCUCGGAUGCAGAGCCAGUAAGACUUAAUGAAAAGCAGGCUGGAUCUGGUCUCUAAAAAAUGGCCGUGGAUUUUUGGAAAAUGUAUGAAAGGAAGGAAGUGAAGACUGUAGAGGAAGUGUUUCCUGUUAAUGAUGUGGAGAACAAAGUGCUUGGUGAAUCCCUGGUGUGCAGCUCACACUGAGCAGUUCUGGUCUGUGAAAUGCCACACUCGUGGCAAACCUAGAGCAAGAAUCUGAGAAAGCAGUUAAGUGGCAAGUGAGCUUUGUUUUGGGUAAGUAUAAUAGUUCAUUUGGGGAAAAUAAAUUCUGUGCUAUGACAGGGAUGGUGAAUUCUGGGUGCUUGUUCAUGAAACAGAAAAAGGAUGGGCUCGUGGAUGGAUUAAACCUGAGAACCUGCAACGCCACCCUGAUUUAUCCAAAAGGGCUGUAGAGAACUGCUUGUUUCUUUGAAGAUUCAGUCGAUGAUACAAAAUUAUACAAUAUUCUGGAGUUGUGGUUGCAGCUAAAGAUACAUACAGUAUAGCCUGAAAAGGUCCAAAGAAAAGGAGGUAAAACACUCUAUCUUUGAGCAGCCUCUCAGCUUCAGCACUGCUGACAUUUGGAACCAGAUAUUUUUGGUUGUGUAGGGCUGUCCUGUGCGUUGUAGGAUGCUUAGCAACACCCCUGGUCUCCACCCACGAGACGCCAGGAGCACCCUCUUCCGACAAGUAGUGACAACCAAAAAUGUCUGCAGGCAUUACCAGAUGUCUCCUAGGGAGCAGAAUUGCCCCCAGGGGAAAACCACUGACCUAGAGGAUAAGUUGACCUGAAAAAGAUAAGAAGGGAAUGUUGUUGCAAUCUUCAAAACCUGUAAAGUGGGGUGGGUUACACACAUUUAUCCAUGGACAAUUGUCUCUUGAAGCUUGAUGUCAAUUUCUUACUGAAUCGAAAUCUUUCGUAAUGAAUACAUAUCUUAAGAAUUUGUAAGUCAUAACCGUUGAAAAUACAAAUGUGGUCCAGAAGUGUUUUGAGGGACUCCUGGAAAGUGACUCACUCAACUGCUUUGUGGAAGGAUAGCCUUGUCUUUCCACCACACAUUCCCAGUGCAGCCGAGAGAGGGAGUUUUGGCUUCGCUAAGAGCAGAGUGCUGUUUCUUCUGUUUUUUGUUUUUCAUCAUUUAUGGACAAAAUUCUGUAAAGUAUACCUGGUUUUAGGUGGAUAAAAAUAAAACAAGUUGAAGGUUCCA
This 6015-nucleotide long non-coding RNA is filed under the name Homo sapiens (human). RNAcentral describes it as "HSALNT0324302". Lineage: Eukaryota; Metazoa; Chordata; Mammalia; Primates; Hominidae. The record is from RNAcentral.